This 25-nucleotide unclassified non-coding RNA is filed under the name Mus musculus (house mouse). RNAcentral's name for it is "oocyte_clustered_small_RNA13725". Lineage: Eukaryota; Metazoa; Chordata; Mammalia; Rodentia; Muridae. The record is from RNAcentral.
UGAAGAGCGCCUGGGUCCUGUGCCA